RNAcentral lists this unclassified non-coding RNA (352 nucleotides) under soil metagenome. RNAcentral's name for it is "partial contains 5.8S ribosomal RNA, internal transcribed spacer 2, and large subunit ribosomal RNA". The stretch from base 1 to 120 matches the Rfam family "5.8S ribosomal RNA", at positions 35 to 154 of the family's 154-position model. The record is from RNAcentral.
GAUGAAGAACGUAGCGAAAUGCGAUAAGUAAUGUGAAUUGCAGAAUUCAGUGAAUCAUCGAAUCUUUGAACGCACAUUGCGCCCGCCAGUAUUCUGGCGGGCAUGCCUGUUCGAGCGUCAUUACAACCCUCAGGCCCCCGGGCCUGGCGUUGGGGAUCGGCGGAGCCCCCCGUGGGCACACGCCGUCCCCCAAAUGCAGUGGCGGUCCCGCCGCAGCUUCCAUCGCGUAGUAGCUAACACCUCGCGACUGGAGAGCGGCGCGGCCACGCCGUAAAACACCCAACUCUUCUGAAGUUGACCUCGAAUCAGGUAGGAAUACCCGCUGAACCUAAGCAUAUCAAUAAGCGGAGGA